This 103-nucleotide non-coding RNA is filed under the name Clostridium acetobutylicum. RNAcentral describes it as "TPP sequence". It matches the Rfam family "TPP riboswitch aptamer (THI element)". From Rfam's summary of the family: Vitamin B(1) in its active form thiamin pyrophosphate (TPP) is an essential coenzyme that is synthesised by coupling of pyrimidine and thiazole moieties in bacteria. The record is from RNAcentral. RNAcentral also lists the same sequence under 1 other name. Lineage: Bacteria; Bacillati; Bacillota; Clostridia; Eubacteriales; Clostridiaceae.
UUUUAGUGCUAGGGGUGCCUUUUGGCUGAGAGAAGUUAAAAAACUUUAACCCUUUGAACCUGAUUCGGUUAAUUCUGACGAAGGAAAGCUUUUUAAAUGAUUA